CCUAGCCGUUUCGUGUUCCUCGCCCUCAGCCCCUCAACCUCGCGCCGUCGUGCGGCCUUCUCUCCUGCCGGUCGUCGCCCGCCGCGUCGCUUCGCCACCUCACCCUCCUCCUCCGAUCGUCGCCGUCGCCGCCUCGCCCUCCUGCAUCCAUCGUCGCCGCCACUCUUUCCUAGCAAGGCCAUCGCAUCGCAUCAGCGUGAUGGCCCCCGUCCUACUCGCCGGUUGAUGUGCCCACACGGAGAUGGUGUAUGCAAUCUCCUCACCUGCCACCGCACUGCCACUGCCGCCGCCGCCGCCGUCGAUCGUCGUCGUUGCCGCUGCCCCUAUUGUCCUCUCCGUUGCAGCUAGAGGAAUUGGCCUCUAUGGCCUGCUCUUGCCUCGGCAUCCGCAUGGAUUAGGGCUUUGGGCACACCAAGGUCCAGCCUUCAACGGCAUCUCCGCCUCGACCAUGCCCUGGUAAGCUCAUAGAUCCAAUUUAUCCAGUCCGGACUGGUGCUCACUCUGCAGCAUGACCCUAAACCUUCGGUGAAUCCAUGGAAUGAUCCUCUAAUUCGAAUCACCCACGGAAAAGCAAUGGCAUCAGCUCACGUGCAAACUACUGUGGCUUCUAUUUGAAGUUUUCCUUGCAGGUCCAAUAAUAGAUAUAAACUUGAGACUAUUUCUCUGAAUGAUGCGUGUGCUUAUCUUCUAUCCAAGUCAGUUGAUCUACAGUCGAGGAGAUUUCUUCUUUGAGCAACGAGGUGUCACGAAGAGCAUAGCUAUACGGAAAUGUAGAAUGUUUCCCUUGAAGUCAAUGUUUCUGUGGUUCUUUUGCCUCUCCGAAGAUUCAGAAAAGGGAGGAAGAGUGCUUCUUGGCUCCCCGAAAGAGAUGAAUCCUAGGAUCCUUGAGUUUUUUUCUAAUCUAUUCUACAGUAUGCAGGCACGAUAUAUAUGUUUCCACGUGUGGCUACUACUUUUGUCUAAGUGCACAUUAUUAUACAAAUAGACUGGAAAUUAUUGGAUAUUGGUUGCAACAUAAAUUAUUUCCUCACGUAGUGUUGACUACCAUAUCGAUGUUUA
Molecule: long non-coding RNA, 1059 nt
Organism: Oryza sativa Japonica Group (Japanese rice)
Lineage: Eukaryota; Viridiplantae; Streptophyta; Magnoliopsida; Poales; Poaceae
Source: RefSeq, a predicted model, not a curated record